This 299-nucleotide long non-coding RNA is filed under the name Olea europaea (common olive). RNAcentral describes it as "long non-coding RNA (OEUR_LNC008915)". Lineage: Eukaryota; Viridiplantae; Streptophyta; Magnoliopsida; Lamiales; Oleaceae. The record is from RNAcentral.
AUUAUUAAGCAACUCUAUAAGUUAUGUUUCACUACUUGUUCCAUUUGGCUUGUUCCCUUGGCUCUAUGGAAUUAAAUUUUAAUUGGUUGUUUAAUUUUGUUGUAAUAAAACAAAAGCAUUUUGAAAAUUUGAUUCAUUCAUUUACUAAGCCCUUUUAAGGUGGUUCAUAUUUGAUGGUGCGAGCUUUGGCUUAAUUUCCUAAACAUAAGGUCCAUGUUGAUUUUGGCUUUUGAUUUGAGGGCCUAUACACAAACUUUUUUCUCUCUUGUGUUCUCUUAUUUGGAAAUUUACUUCUGCAG